Long non-coding RNA from Rhagoletis pomonella (apple maggot), 364 nucleotides. RefSeq lists it as uncharacterized. The transcript has 3 exons. The record is from RefSeq and is a predicted model, not a curated record. NCBI's taxonomy places the organism in Eukaryota, Metazoa, Arthropoda, Insecta, Diptera, Tephritidae.
CAUCAAUGCUGUUGGCAUAAUACUCGCUGCUCUGCCUAAGAAAUAUUGGAAUGCAAAUGAACACCAUGGUGAGCCGCUGAUGUGUCUUCAGUUGGUGCUGCCUUGAGUAAAAAUUGUGAAGACAGCGAGCGCACUAAAAUCGCUGCAAGAAAUUAUAUAUGACAAUGCAGACAAAUCGGCGUCACUUACUAACGAGGAAACAGCGGAAACAAAGAUGAGGAAUUUGCAGGAUUGCAUAGAAUAUUUGGCCAAAUAUCGGCACUGAAAGCACAAAAAUCACAACGAAAAACAACCACGCCAAAGAGGAGUUUUAUGUGCCUAGUCAAGCAUUUUUAACUUCGCUAAUACAAAUUUUCCCAGCCAU